CGUGAGGAACCUGCCUUGGAGAGGGGAAUAACACUCCGAAAGGAGUGCUAAUACCGCAUGAUGCAGUUGGGUCGCAUGGCUCUGACUGCCAAAGAUUUAUCGCUCUGAGAUGGCCUCGCGUCUGAUUAGCUAGUAGGCGGGGUAACGGCCCACCUAGGCGACGAUCUGUAGCCGGACUGAGAGGUUGACCGGCCACAUUGGGACUGAGACACGGCCCAG
RNAcentral lists this ribosomal RNA (219 nucleotides) under uncultured bacterium. Its description in RNAcentral is "partial 16S ribosomal RNA". It matches the Rfam family "Bacterial small subunit ribosomal RNA", at positions 116 to 334 of the family's 1533-position model. The record is from RNAcentral.